GUGCUCUCUUCAGCAGCACGUGCACGAAAUUGGAAUGAUACAGAGAGGAGCAUGCCGCUGCUCAAAGAUGACAUGGAAAUUCAUGAAGCAUUCCAUGUUUGU
This is a small nuclear RNA of Sorex araneus (European shrew), 102 nucleotides long. The record is from Ensembl. NCBI's taxonomy places the organism in Eukaryota, Metazoa, Chordata, Mammalia, Eulipotyphla, Soricidae.